Molecule: long non-coding RNA, 813 nt
Organism: Cavia porcellus (domestic guinea pig)
Lineage: Eukaryota; Metazoa; Chordata; Mammalia; Rodentia; Caviidae
Exons: 2
Source: RefSeq, a predicted model, not a curated record
CGGGGCCCAGCUGGGUUGGGCAAUCAGGCUCCGCCUUGCUGCCCGGUUUGGGGUGCAGCAUUUGGACCGGACCAGCCCUCAGAAUUCCUGUGCCGGGACCUACUGGGGACCUGGGAAGGCCGGAAUCCUAGACUCAUUCCUCCACCGCGUCCCUUGGUGUCAUACAGCUCAAGACCAGAACAUUGCCCUGUAGCCGGGUUAGGGGUUGCUGGUACCAUGGGACCCCCUUCUGAUUUCAUUGGCUAGCUGUAGCGCAGACCCUACUUGGGAGCUAUGUGUCAAUCAGCGCCGCCCCCUCCCCUGCCUGGUCUCCGGCACCCCGGACUCUAGGGAGACCUUGUCAUUUCAGUCCCUCCCACCGCUCCUUCUGAGCAGUUGCCUCCCCCUGCCGGCCCGGGUGGAGUGUGCUAGUCUGGCCCAGGAUUGGAAGGAGGGCCUUGGCCAGUGCCCUCCGGGACAGUGAGGAAUUGAGCCAUUGACAGCUGCAGCUGGGGAAUCCCAGCAGACAGGAUUGGACUUCAGGGACCAGAGUGCUGGGUUCUGCUGUCUGCAACAGCACCAGGGAGCAGGUGCUUUGAAAUCCGAAUUGGCUCUAGAAAAACGACGAAGUGUGACUGUGUUGGGGGGCAAGUCCUGGGGAGAUCAAUCCCUCUGCUGUGUGGUCUUCUACCAACUCUGUUACCCAAACUUUGCAAUGUCACUCAUGUAGGGCAGUGGGGAGGAUGCAGUUCUGCUGUCUUGGCCUAAACCUGGAGAGGCAGAUGUCCACUGAUGGAACAAAGUUAAUAAAAUUAAAUUUUUGAGCUUCUUGUA